AACGAACGCUGGCGGCAUGCCUAACACAUGCAAGUCGAACGAGACCUUCGGGCCUAGUGGCGCACGGUUGCGUAACGCGUGGGAACCUGCCCUUAGGUUCGGAAUAACUCGCCGAAAGGCGUGCUAAUACCGGCUAAUGUCUUCGGACCAAAGAUUUAUCGCCCUUGGAUGGGCCCGCGUUGGAUUAGCUAGUUGGUAGGGUAAAAGCCUACCAAGGGGACGUUACAUAGCUGGUCUGAGAGGAUGGUCCGCCACACUGAGACUGAGAAACGGCCCGGACUCCUGGACGAUGGGGCAAUGGGUGAUACAGCAAUGUGGCGUGAAGGAAGAAGGAGCUAGGCUGGGAGAGUGCUGAAGGCCGGAAGGAAGUAAAGCUCGUUAACACCGGAUGAUAAUGACGGUACCGGGAGAAUAAGCACCGGCUAACUCCGUG
Molecule: ribosomal RNA, 433 nt
Filed under: uncultured bacterium
Lineage: Bacteria
Description: partial 16S ribosomal RNA
Rfam family: Bacterial small subunit ribosomal RNA
Source: RNAcentral